UACAGAGGUCUCAAGCGUUGUUCGGAUUCAUUGGGCGUAAAGGGUGCGUAGGCGGCGCGGUAAGUCGGGUGUGAAAUCUCGGAGCUUAACUCCGAAACUGCAUUCGAUACUGCCGUGCUUGAGGACUGGAGAGGAGACUGGAAUUUACGGUGUAGCGGUGAAAUGCGUAGAUAUCGUAAGGAAGACCAGUGGCGAAGGCGGGUCUCUGGACAGUUCCUGACGCUGAGGCAUGAAAGCGUGGGGAGCAAACAGG
RNAcentral lists this ribosomal RNA (253 nucleotides) under uncultured bacterium. RNAcentral's name for it is "partial 16S ribosomal RNA". It matches the Rfam family "Bacterial small subunit ribosomal RNA", at positions 524 to 776 of the family's 1533-position model. The record is from RNAcentral.